AAAGUACCAGCUGUGCAUACAAAGAAGAUGGUUAUUUCAGAAGAAAAGAUGUUCUUUGCUUCUCACACAGAGGAGGAGGUGUCAGUCACAGUCCCCGAGGUACAAAAGGAAAUUGUUACUGAAGAGAAAAUUCACGUUGCCAUUUCCAAAAGGGUUGAACCACCACCUAAAGUCCCUGAGCUACCUGAGAAACCAGCUCCAGAAGAAGUGGCCCCUGUUCCUAUCCCUAAAAAAGUGGAGCCCCCAGCACCAAAAGUUCCUGAGGUUCCCAAGAAACCCGUGCCAGAGGAGAAAAAGCCAGUUCCUGUGCCUAAGAAGGAACCUGCUGCUCCCCCAAAAGUCCCAGAGGUGCCAAAGAAACCUGUCCCUGAAGAAAAGAUUCCCGUUCCUGUUGCAAAGAAAAAGGAAGCUCCCCCAGCUAAAGUUCCUGAAGUACAGAAGGGAGUUGUGACAGAAGAAAAAAUAACCAUUGUAACUCAAAGAGAGGAAUCUCCACCACCAGCAGUGCCAGAAAUACCAAAGAAGAAAGUUCCUGAAGAAAGGAAACCUGUUCCUCGGAAGGAGGAAGAAGUUCCACCACCACCAAAAGUGCCAGCUCUGCCUAAGAAACCCGUCCCAGAGGAGAAAGUUGCAGUGCCAGUUCCUGUCGCUAAGAAAGCUCCUCCUCCCCGAGCUGAAGUCUCUAAGAAAACUGUUGUAGAAGAAAAGAGAUUUGUUGCUGAAGAAAAACUAUCCUUCGCAGUUCCUCAAAGAGUGGAAGUCACGCGGCACGAAGUAUCUGCAGAGGAGGAAUGGAGUUACUCAGAAGAGGAGGAAGGUGUGUCCAUUUCAG
Molecule: long non-coding RNA, 832 nt
Filed under: Homo sapiens (human)
Lineage: Eukaryota; Metazoa; Chordata; Mammalia; Primates; Hominidae
Description: long non-coding RNA NONHSAT186015.1
Source: RNAcentral